GAUGAACGCUGGCGGCGUGCCUAAUACAUGCAAGUCGAGCGAACGGACGAGAAGCUUGCUUCUCUGAUGUUAGCGGCGGACGGGUGAGUAACACGUGGAUAACCUACCUAUAAGACUGGGAUAACUUCGGGAAACCGGAGCUAAUACCGGAUAAUAUUUUGAACCGCAUGGUUCAAAAGUGAAAGACGGUCUUGCUGUCACGUAUAGAUGGAUCCGCGCUGCAUUAGCUAGUUGGUAAGGUAACGGCUUACCAAGGCAACGAUGCAUAGCCGACCUGAGAGGGUGAUCGGCCACACUGGAACUGAGACACGGUCCAUACUCCUACGGGAGGCAGCAGUAGGGAAUCUUCCGCAAUGGGCGAAAGCCUGACGGAGCAACGCCGCGUGAGUGAUGAAGGUCUUCGGAUCGUAAAACUCUGUUAUUAGGGAAGAACAUAUGUGUAAGUAACUGUGCACAUCUUGACGGUACCUAAUCAGAAAGCCACGGCUAACUACGUG
This 497-nucleotide ribosomal RNA is filed under the name uncultured bacterium. RNAcentral describes it as "partial 16S ribosomal RNA". It matches the Rfam family "Bacterial small subunit ribosomal RNA", at positions 28 to 507 of the family's 1533-position model. The record is from RNAcentral.